UAGGCAACAAAUAAUGGCAGCAGCUCCGGGGGAUCCUGGGCUCUCCAAAUUGCAGUUUGCUCCCUUUAGCAGUGCUUUGGACGUUGGAUUCUGGCACGAGUUGACCCAGAGAAAGCUGAAUGAGUAUCGGCUGGAUGAAGCUCCCAAGGACAUUAAGGGCUAUUACUACAAUGGUGAUUCUGCUGGGCUGCCAGCUCGCUUAACGUUGGAGUUCAGUGCUUUUGACAUGAGUGCUCCCACCCCAGCCCACUGCUGCCCGGCUGUUGGAACGCUCUUUAACACCAACACACUUGAGGCUUUCAAGGCUGCAGAUAAGAAGCUACUUUUGGAGCAAGCAGCAGAUGAGAUAUGGGAAGCCAUAAAAUCAGGUGCUGCUCUCGAAAACCCUGUCCUCCUCAACAAGUUCCUCCUCUUGACCUUUGCAGAUCUAAAGAAGUACCACUUCUACUACUGGUUUUGCUUCCCUGCUCUCUGCCUUCCAGAUAGUAUACCCCUCAUUCAAGGGCCAGUGGGCUUGGAUCAAAGGUUUUCACCAAAACAGAUUCAAGCCCUUGGGUGUGCAUAUGAUGCUCUUUGUCAAACAGAAGGAGUCCCAGCUCUACCUUACUUCUUAAUCAAGUAUGAUGAGAACAUGGUGCUGGUUUCCCUGCUUAAACACUACAGUGAUUUCUUCCAAGACCAAAGGACAAAGAUAACAAUUGGUGUAUAUGAUCCCUGUAACUUAGCCCAGCAUCCUGGAUGGCCUUUGAGGAAUCUUUUGGUCCUAGCAGCCCACCGAUGGAGUAGCAGUUUCCAGUCUGUUGAAGUCCUCUGCUUCCGGGACCGCACCAUGCAGGGGGUGAGAGACAUUGCCCACAGCAUCAUCUUCGAAGUGAAGCUUCCAGAAAUGGCAUUUAGCCCAGAUUGUCCCAAAGCAGUUGGAUGGGAAAAAAACCAGAAAGGCGGCAUGGGACCGAGGAUGGUGAACCUCAGUGAAUGUAUGGACCCUAAAAGGUUAGCUGAGUCAUCAGUGGAUUUAAAUCUCAGAUUGAUGUGUUGGAGAUUGGUCCCCACUUUGGACUUAGACAAGGUUGUGUCUGUCAAGUGUCUGCUGCUUGGAGCUGGCACCUUGGGUUGUAAUGUAGCUAGGACAUUGAUGGGUUGGGGCGUCAGACACAUCACAUUUGUGGACAAUGCCAAUAUCUCCUACUCCAAUCCUGUGAGGCAGCCUCUCUAUGAAUUUGAAGAUUGCCUCGCGGGUGGUAAGCCCAAGGCCCUGGCUGCAGCAGACCGGCUUCAGAAAAUAUUCCCCGGAGUGAAUGCCAGAGGGUUCAACAUGAGCAUCCCGAUGCCUGGACACCCGGUGAACUUUUCCAGCGUCACCCUGGAGCAAGCCCGCAGGGAUGUGGAGCAACUGGAGCAGCUCAUCGAAAGCCAUGAUGUCGUUUUCCUGUUGAUGGACACCAGGGAGAGCCGGUGGCUCCCUGCCGUCAUUGCCGCGAGCAAAAGAAAGCUGGUCAUCAAUGCUGCCUUGGGAUUUGACACGUUUGUUGUCAUGAGACAUGGCUUGAAGAAACCUAAGCAGCAGGGAGCUGGGGACUUGUGUUCUAGUCACCUUGUGGCACCUGCCGACCUCUUAGGCUCAUCACUUUUUGCCAACAUCCCUGGCUACAAACUUGGCUGCUAUUUCUGCAAUGAUGUGGUGGCCCCGGGAGAUUCAACCAGAGACCGGACCUUGGACCAGCAGUGCACUGUGAGCCGCCCAGGACUGGCCAUGAUUGCAGGAGCCCUGGCCGUGGAAUUGAUGGUUUCUGUUUUGCAGCAUCCAGAAGGGGGCUACGCCAUUGCCAGUAGCAGUGAUGACCGCAUGAAUGAGCCGCCAACCUCUCUCGGGCUUGUGCCUCACCAGAUCCGGGGAUUUCUGUCACGGUUUGAUAAUGUCCUUCCUGUCAGUCUGGCGUUUGACAAAUGUACAGCUUGUUCUUCCAAAGUUCUUGAUCAGUAUGAACGAGAAGGAUUUAAUUUCCUAGCGAAGGUGUUUAAUUCUUCACAUUCCUUCUUAGAAGACUUGACUGGUCUCACUUUGCUGCAUCAAGAGACCCAAGCUGCUGAGGUGCUAUGAAUUUCUUGAGGCAACAGAGCAAUCAGUAAACUGGUGACUGUUCCAACAUGAAUGGAGCCUCCUGGUGUUCCCUGGUCCUGAGUGUUUGUCCACAAAAUGCAAGGCAGACCCAGGGGCCUCUCUCCCCUACCUGAAGUUUUAUAGAUUUUCUUUAUUUGACAGAGAGAGACACAGCGAGAGAGGGAACACAAGCAGUGGGAGUGGGAGAGGGAGAAGCAGGCUUCCCGUGGAGCAGGGAGCCCGAUGCGGGGCUCGAUCCCAGGUCCCUGGGAUCAUGACCUGAGCCGAAGGCAGACGCUUAACGACUGAGCCACCCAGAUCUGGGACAUGAGCGACGAUGAGACCGUCUGACGUGGCCCACCCUUGCGUGGCUGGCUUCUCCCUGGCCGCCUGCUGAGGAGCCCUCGGUUACCGGAGCCGGACUGCCACCCCCAAGACCGGUGAUUCUGGGCCCUGCGCCCCUCCAACCUUUGUGGUCUCCUCCUCUGUGUACCUUGAGGACCAGGGCCCCCUCUCCACUGCCCAGGAGCUUCUGGGGUUCUCCAUUUCUCAUGAUUCAUGAUCUUACCAGUUCUGAGCUAAAUAAUAACCUUGGCUUUGGCAUUGCCAUUGA
Molecule: RNA transcript, 2714 nt
Organism: Mirounga angustirostris (Northern elephant seal)
Lineage: Eukaryota; Metazoa; Chordata; Mammalia; Carnivora; Phocidae
Gene: ATG7
Gene name: autophagy related 7
Exons: 20
Source: RefSeq, a predicted model, not a curated record